Molecule: long non-coding RNA, 242 nt
Filed under: Phoenix dactylifera (date palm)
Lineage: Eukaryota; Viridiplantae; Streptophyta; Magnoliopsida; Arecales; Arecaceae
Description: long non-coding RNA (PDAC_LNC010159)
Source: RNAcentral
CUCGUUCAGUCUUGGAGUCGACUCGAACUGUCUCGGAGUCGACUCGGCCCUCAGUAUCCAAAAAACAGUCUUCUGUCUUUUGGGGUCGCGCUGCCUUGGAGUCGACUCGAACUGUCUUGGAGUCGACUCGCCUCUCAGAGACGAAAAUGCCGUCUUCUGUCUUUGGGGUUGCGCUGCCUCGGAGUCGACUCGGAUUUUGCGGGAGUCGACUCGGCUCUCAGUGUCUGAAAUUGGCUUUCUGA